Long non-coding RNA from Populus nigra (black poplar), 3405 nucleotides. RefSeq lists it as uncharacterized. NCBI's taxonomy places the organism in Eukaryota, Viridiplantae, Streptophyta, Magnoliopsida, Malpighiales, Salicaceae. The record is from RefSeq and is a predicted model, not a curated record. The transcript has 2 exons.
AAAAACUGAUAAACCACUCCUCUAUACAAAACACACAAAUCCCUCUCACUGUCUUCGAAUUUUGCUUUCAAAUUUCUCUAAAAAAAAUCCUUCUAGAAAACCUCUCUCUCUCAAACAAACCCUAACUGUGUCUUAAAGCAGAGCAUGAACAGAAAUAUUUCUCAUCCAGUUUCACUUUUAAGGAACAUGACAACCGCCUUCAGGUUCUUCCCCAAUUUCCUAUAUAUUUCCUUUGAGGCAUGUUGUAUAUAUUUGGUUUAGUAAUCAAAUUUUCAGCUCAAGUAACAACCUACGUAAUGAUUCUUGUUUCAGAGUUUUCAAAAUUAUGUUCUAUAGGUAUAUUGCGCUUUCGUUUCAUAUGAAAAAAUUCAUCGUAAUCUUGUUGCCUAUGUUUUCUGCUUUAAAGAAGACAGUAGACAGACAAGGUUGGGUUCAAGAAUUCUGCUACAAUAAUCCAAUUUGCUACCAGAAAUGUUUUUCCUUUUGUUAAAGCCACCUAGCUCACACCAUUAACCAACUCACUUGAGAAAUAAAUGUUUUGGAUAGAAAUCACCAUGAAUUGAAUAGCAUAUGAUUUAUUUCCAUGUAUUCUCGGUGGUGUCAUUGCAAUCCUCAUUUUUCAUAUCUGUAAUUUGUUUUCCCUCAUUUUUGUUAACAUUCAUGAUAGUUCCCUGUCAUAUCAAAAUGAAAAACACACACAUAGUAACUUAACUUUCUUUGAGUGAAAGACAACCACAAGUUUGAAUAAAAUUCUGCACAUCUGCCUGAUAUUCCAAAUAAACUCUUUAAAUAGAAUUUCUUUACAUUAACUAAAUAGCUAAACUGACUCCUAAAUUUCAGCUAGUCAAUACCAUGACUUAGCUAUUAUUCUGGAGGUGACUAACCACCUACGACUGAGCAACAAGACAAAUUCAAAACAAUAAAUUAGAAAAGAACAAUGCAAUCUUGAGCUAAAAACUUGGGAUUUUUUCUCAAGACCCUGGAGGAUCUUCUCGGUGUAUCAAUUCAACACUUGUUAUUUUUUCUUGCUUUUCUUUUCCCACCAUCAUACCUGGUAUUGAUUGGUGAAUUAGAAAGUUGGUGCUACAUUCUCACAAGUCAAUAGAUCCUCUUGCAGUAAGGGGUGCUGAACUUAACUUGCUGACUUAUAGCAUCAUAUCAUUUGAUAAUAUUGUCUUGGAUGAAUUGAAUGAAAGUUUGAAUGAUCAUGGCCAACUUGUAUUCCCUUUCGUUUCAAAUAAUUGGUCUUGGUUGAUCUAUUUCCAUGUACGCAACAUCUUUAGGUAAUCCAAUUCUUGUAUAGUAGCAAUAUCUUGCUUCUCCAUUCAAAUAGCUUGGAUCACGGACAGCUUAUUCAUGAUAAUAUUGGUUUCAAAGUUGAUAAAAAAGGAAUACUUUGUAGGCACCUUUAGUUUCUUUUCUGAUUUAUGAGCAUGGUUGGAUAAAAAAGCACAUUGAAAUGAAAGGUUCAUGUUCCUUGAUUUAGUUAUUCAUAACUUGCAUAUUGAGACUGGUCACAUGAUUCUAAAUUUAUGUUCCUUUAGCACUUCAAUAUCGUAGCCAACAAGUAAGAAAGACUUAGAGAAAUGGACUUUGAAGAUUAAUUUAGAGAAAACUAAAGCUUGGGUCAGAAAAUGUUACUUAUGAAUAAAUUUCUUUGUAGAAUGCAAUGCAAUUCGGGUAGCUUUUGUUAAUCAUCUGAGCAACUUUUAGAAUCUUAUUCGAUUCUGAAAAAAAAAUAAUGAAUACUUUCUGCUUUCUUUAGGCAAUGAAAAAUCAAAUAACCAGCCAAUAUAAUACACAAUUUCACUGUUUGGGAGACUCAAGUUAUUGAUUGGGAUGUUAAUGAGCAACACAUAUUAAAUGCUAAAAGAUGUGUAAUUUUUUUUGCAUUCUACAAUCCAUUUGAUCAUCAUUGUUUUGUGAUUUUGCAAUCAUCUUUAUAUUGAAAAAGAAUGUGGUGUUGAUAUCUCAAAUCAUGGAUCGCAGUUCAAUUUUAUUUGGAAGAAAUGCUGCAAAGACACUGACAUGGAAAAUGAACCUGAAACUCAGUAAUGAUUCAUGCAUGUGAUGAUAAAUGAACUUAAUCCUCCUGUUAUAAUGAAAAGAAAAUAAUCUUUUUUGUAGUCUGGUGUGAACCUUCAAGUUGCACAAAAAAAUUAUAUGCUUGUGCCUGCUUUCACUCUAGCCUCGCACACAUUUAUUUCACAUUCUUUAACUUGCAUGAGGGUUUGACAUAGGAACCAAAAGUGGAGGAAGAUUGAUACUCUUAAUAAAACUUAAUGCAGACAAACCAAACUGCAAUCAUAUAAUGAAGAUGAUAUGCAAGGAAGUAAGUUUUAAUAAUCUCUUCGAUUUUUCUAGAUAUGCAGAGGCUUGGGCUAGUUAUGUAGGAUAGCAUUUUGUAUGUAAUCAUUUCUUUAUCUCUAUAUUUUCCUUUUGCCGAGUCUCCUCCUGAUCAUUGCCAUAAAAAAUCACUUCAACAAUUGAUUUACGGAACAUGGUCUGUGACAAGAUAUACUCGGUGAUUUCAACAUCUAUAAACAUCAUCUCUCGUAUAUUCAUUACAGCUACAGAUAGCAUUUACCACGUCUUUCAUUCUAAUAUUAUUGCAUUUUGAUUCAAUAUCUUCUGGGGUUGUCUCCAUCGACAAGGCUGUUGGGCUUAAUUCUUGAAGAGUUAAAAUGUAGUUUGUGCUUGUGUUUUGAUGUUGCUUAUUCAGAGUGUUGAUGAGUCAAUUCGAAAGCUGAUGCUGAAUUCUCACAAGUCAACGGAUCUUCAUGAGGUAAGGGGUACUAAACUCAACAUGCUGACUUAGAAAGCAUUAUAUUAUUUGAUAAUAUUGUCUUGGAUGAAUGUCUUGAAUGAGAGUUUGGAUGAUCAUGGCCAGCUUAUACUCCAUUUGAUUUCAAAUAAUUGGUCUUGGUUGAUCUAUUUCCAUGUAUUCAAUUGUGAAGUAGCAGGAUUCUUGUUUCUCUUUUGGUUUCCCAAUCACAAAAUGGGGAGGAGGAUUCCAUAAGUGGAACUAGGAUAAUGUUACUGCUAGUGCCAAUAACGUGUAAUAAUUUUAUCUCGAAUGGGUUGUAAAUAUUGGCCGCGUCGGGGCCUUGUGUGUUUGUGCUUCAACCAAGUCGAUUAUUUGAAACUAGUUAUUGAUUGGGCUACAUGGUUUCGAUCGAGCAUGAUGAGCCACUGGAGACACAGAUGGAGAAAGGCACAGGCUGGGAAACUAUCAACGUGUAGCCCGUCAUUACAUGGGAUAUAAGAUGGCCAUUUUUAUUUUUUUUAUUUUCCUGGCAUGGUUUUAGCAGUGAUAACUUGGAAACCUCAUAGCUAGCAUGAUUUCACGGUCUGUAGAUGGUUUAAUUAUGUGUCAUGAUUGAGUAUUAUUUAUGUUUCGCAUUA